AGAGUUUGAUCCUGGCUCAGGAUGAACGCUAGCGGCAGGCUUAACACAUGCAAGUCGUGGGGCAGCGCGGGUAGCAAUACUUGGCGGCGACCGGCAAACGGGUGCGGAACACGUACGCAACCUUCCUCAGAGCGGGGAAUAGCCUCUCGAAAGAGAGAUUAAUACCCCAUAGUAUCCCGGGAUCACAUGGUCUUGGGAUUAAAGCUCCGGCACUUUGAGAUGGGCGUGCGGCUGAUUAGGUAGUUGGUAGGGUAACGGCCUACCAAGCCAACGAUCAGUAGCUGAUGUGAGAGCAUGAUCAGCCACACGGGCACUGAGACACGGGCCCGACUCCUACGGGAGGCAGCAGUGAGGAAUAUUGGUCAAUGGAGGCAACUCUGAACCAGCCAUGCCGCGUGAAGGAUGAAGGUCCUCUGGAUUGUAAACUUCUUUUAUAGAAGAAGAAACCCCGGUAUUCUUACCGGGUUGACGGUACUCUAUGAAUAAGCACCGGCUAACUCCGUGCCAGCAGCCGCGGUAAUACGGAGGGUGCAAGCGUUAUCCGGAUUCACUGGGUUUAAAGGGAGCGUAGGUGGGUUGGUAAGUCAGUGGUGAAAUCCCCGAGCUUAACUUGGGAACUGCCAUUGAUACUAUCAAUCUUGAAUACUGUGGAGGUAAGCGGAAUAUAUCAUGUAGCGGUGAAAUGCUUAGAUAUGAUAUAGAACACCGAUAGCGAAGGCAGCUUACUACGCAGUUAUUGACACUGAGGCUCGAAAGCGUGGGGACCAAACAGGAUUAGAUACCCUGGUAGUCCACGCCUUAAACGAUGAGAGCUAGUUGUCAGUAAGCAUGCUUAUUGGUGACGCAGCUAACGCAUUAAGCUCUCCGCCUGGGGAGUACGGCCGCAAGGUUAAAACUCAAAGAAAUUGACGGGGGCCCGCACAAGCGGUGGAGCAUGUGGUUUAAUUCGAAGCAACGCGCAGAACCUUACCCACCUUUGACAUCCCGUGCUAUCUAGAGAGAUCUAGAGUCCCUUCGGGGCGCGGAGACAGGUGCUGCAUGGCUGUCGUCGGCUCGUGUCGUGAGAUGUUGGGUUAAGUCCCGCAACGAGCGCAACCCUCGCUUCUAGUUGCCAGCAUUUAGUUGGGCACUCUAGAGGAACUGCCUGCGCCAAGCAGGAGGAAGGCGGGGAUGACGUCAAGUCCUCAUGGCCCUUACAGGUGGGGCUACACACGUGCUACAAUGGCGGUGACAAAGGGAUAAUCCCUAAAAGCCGUCUCAGUUCGGAUUGUCCUCUGCAACUCGAGGGCAUGAAGUUGGAAUCGCUAGUAAUCGCGGAUCAGCACGCCGCGGUGAAUACGUUCCCGGGCCUUGUACACACCGCCCGUCACACCAUGGGAGUUGGUUCUACCCGAAGGCGUUGCGCCGACCGCAAGGAGGCGGCGACCACGGUAGUGUCAGCGACUGGGGUGAAGUCGUAACAAGGUA
Molecule: ribosomal RNA, 1467 nt
Filed under: metagenome
Description: bacterial SSU rRNA
Rfam family: Bacterial small subunit ribosomal RNA
Source: RNAcentral